RNAcentral lists this ribosomal RNA (486 nucleotides) under uncultured bacterium. Its description in RNAcentral is "bacterial SSU rRNA". It matches the Rfam family "Bacterial small subunit ribosomal RNA", at positions 28 to 517 of the family's 1533-position model. The record is from RNAcentral.
GAUGAACGCUAGCGGCAGGCUUAACACAUGCAAGUCGAGGGGUAUAGUUCUUCGGAACUAGAGACCGGCGCACGGGUGCGUAACGCGUAUGCAAUCUACCUUUCACAAAGGGAUAGCCCAGAGAAAUUUGGAUUAAUACCUUAUAGUAUAGCGACUUCGCAUGGAGCUGCUAUUAAAGAUUUAUCGGUGAAAGAUGAGCAUGCGUCCAUUAGCUAGUUGGUAAGGUAACGGCUUACCAAGGCUACGAUGGGUAGGGCUCCUGAGAGGGAGAUCCCCCACACUGGUACUGAGACACGGACCAGACUCCUACGGGAGGCAGCAGUGAGGAAUAUUGGUCAAUGGGCGCAAGCCUGAACCAGCCAUGCCGCGUGCAGGAUGACGGUCCUAUGGAUUGUAAACUGCUUUUGUACAGGAAGAAACACUCCUCGUGAGGGAGCUUGACGGUACUGUAAGAAUAAGGAUCGGCUAACUCCGUGCCAGCAGCCG